AGUCGAGGGGCAGCAUUUUAGUUUUGCUUGCAAACUAAAGAUGGCGACCGGCGCACGGGCUGAGUAACACGCUAUCCAACCUGCCGAUAACUCGGGGAUAGCCUUUCGAAAGAAAGAUUAAUAUCCGAUAGUAUAUUAAAACCGCAUGGUUUUACUAUUAAAGAAUUUCGGUUAUCGAUGGGGAUGCGUUCCAUUAGUUUGUUGGCGGGGUAACGGCCCACCAAGACUACGAUGGAUAGGGGUUCUGAGAGGAAGGUCCCCCACAUUGGAACUGAGACACGGUCCAAACUCAUACGGGAGGCAGCAGUGAGGAAUAUUGGUCAAUGGACGAGAGUCUGAACCAGCCAAGUAGCGUGAAGGAUGACUGCCCUAUGGGUUGUAAAANUUCUUUUAUAUGGGAAUAAAGUAUUNCCACGUGUGGGAAUUUUUGUAUGUACCAUAUGAAUAAGGAUUCGGCUAACUCCGUGCCAGCAGCCGCGGUAAUACGGAGGAUCCGAGCGUUAUCCGGAUUUAUUGGGUUUAAAGGGGAGCGUAGGUGGAUUGUUAAGUCAGUUGUGAAAGUUUGCGGCUCAACCGUAAAAUUGCAGUUGAAACUGGCAGUCUUGAGUACAGUAGAGGUGGGCGGAAUUCGUGGUGUAGCGGUGAAAUGCUUAGAUAUCACGAAGAACUCCGAUUGCGAAGGCAGCUCACUAGACUGCAACUGACACUGAUGCUCGAAAGUGUGGGUAUCAAACAGGAUUAGAUACCCUGGUAGUCCACACAGUAAACGAUGAAUACUCGCUGUUUGCGAUAUACAGUAAGCGGCCAAGCGAAAGCAUUAAGUAUUCCACCUGGGGAGUACGCCGGCAACGGUGAAACUCAAAGGAAUUGACGGGGGCCCGCACAAGCNGGAGGAACAUGUGGNUUUAAUUCGAUGAUACGCGAGGAACCUUACCCCGGGCUUNAAAUUGCAUUUGAAUAAUCUGGAAACAGGUUAGCCGCAAGGCAAAUGUGAANGGUGCUGCAUGGUUGUCGUCAGCUCGUGCCGUGAGGUGUCGGCUUAAGUGCCAUAACGAGCGCAACCCUUAUCUUUAGUUACUAACAGGUNAUGCUGAGGACUCUAGAGAGACUGCCGUCGUAAGAUGUGAGGAAGGUGGGGAUGACGUCAAAUCAGCACGGCCCUUACGUCCGGGGCUACACACGUGUUACAAUGGGGGGUACAGAAGGCAGCUACCUGGCGACAGGAUGCUAAUCCCAAAAACCUCUCUCAGUUCGGAUCGAAGUCUGCAACCCGACUUCGUGAAGCUGGAUUCGCUAGUAAUCGCGCAUCAGCCAUGGCGCGGUGAAUACGUUCCCGGGCCUUGUUCNAAAGGGCCCGUCAAGCCAUGAAAGCCGGGGGUACCUGAAGUACGUACCGCAA
RNAcentral lists this ribosomal RNA (1399 nucleotides) under bacterium NLAE-zl-C203. RNAcentral's name for it is "16S ribosomal RNA". It matches the Rfam family "Bacterial small subunit ribosomal RNA", at positions 60 to 1438 of the family's 1533-position model. The record is from RNAcentral.